GCCUUCAUGGUGUAGUGGUCAGCACGCUGGGCACGUAUUUUAGAGGUCUGUGGUUCGAAUCCCAGUGAAGGCA
Molecule: transfer RNA, 73 nt
Filed under: Stegodyphus mimosarum
Lineage: Eukaryota; Metazoa; Arthropoda; Arachnida; Araneae; Eresidae
Rfam family: tRNA
About the family: Transfer RNA (tRNA) molecules are approximately 80 nucleotides in length. Their secondary structure includes four short double-helical elements and three loops (D, anti-codon, and T loops).
Source: Rfam by way of RNAcentral